AGACGGGAGCCGGGAGUAUGUGAACGUGUCCCAGGAGCUGCACCCGCAGGUGGAGAAGACGGAGCCUGCCCCCCUGAGUUCCCAGGACAUGGAGGAGGAAGAGGAAGAAGAGGAGGGACCUCCUGAUUAUGAGAACCUGCAGGAUCUGAACUGAGGGCCUGGUCUGGAGCCAGCCUUAAGGGAGGUGCUCUUGCUGCGGAGCCAGGCAGCUGGAAGUGGUGCUGGGCCCCUGGGCUGUGCUUCCCGCCCAGCCUGACAUCAGCCUGAGAAUUUCCCCCUAACUUAUUGUCACUUUGGGGCCUAGCCUGUGUUCCCCCCUCCGACUCCCCCACACUGCACUUUCUGACGCAGCCUGAGAAUGGACCACCCUGGCCCCAGCCCUCCCCUUUGCCAAAGAAUAAAGGCCGGUGUGGUUCGUA
Echinops telfairi (small Madagascar hedgehog) is the source of this 419-nucleotide long non-coding RNA. RefSeq lists it as uncharacterized. The transcript is spliced from 3 exons. NCBI's taxonomy places the organism in Eukaryota, Metazoa, Chordata, Mammalia, Afrosoricida, Tenrecidae. The record is from RefSeq and is a predicted model, not a curated record.